GACUCGUACGGUUGGGCAGCAGUGAGGGAUAUUGCACAAUGGGGGGAACCUUGAUUGCAGCAACGCCGCGUGGAGGUAUGACGCAUUUCGGUGUGUAAACUCCUUUUAUAUGUCACAGUAAAAUGACGGUAGCAUAUGAAUAAGCACCGGCUAACUCCGUGCCAGCAGCCGCGGUAAUACGGAGGGUGCUAGCGUUACUCGGAAUCACUGGGCGUAAAGGACGCGUAGGCUGUUUAGCAAGUCAGAUGUGAAAUCCAAUGGCUCAACCAUUGAACUGCAUUUGAAACUGCUAGACUAGAGUAUGGGAGGGGCAGAUGGAAUUAGUGGUGUAGGGGUAAAAUCCGUAGAUAUCACUAGGAAUACCUAAAGCGAAGGCGAUCUGCUGGAACAUUACUGACGCUAAGGCGUGAAAGCGUGGGGAGCAAACAGGAUUAGAUACCCUGGUAGUCCACGCCCUAAACGAUGAACACUAGUCGUCGCUCUGCUAGUCAGGGCGGUGAUGCACUUAACAGGUUAAGUGUUCCGCCUGGGGAGUACGUCGCAGAUUAUACUCAAAGGAAUAGACGGGACCCGCACAAGUGGUGGAGCAUGUGGUUUAUUCGUAGAUACGCGAAAAACCUUACCUGGCCUUGACAUUGAUAGUAAUCCUGUAGAGAUACGGGAGUGCCCUUCGGGGAGCUUGAAAACAGGUGCUGCACGGCUGUCGUCAGCUCGUGUCGUGAGAUGUUGGGUUAAGUCCCGCAACGAGCGCAACCCUCGUCCUUAGUUGCCAGCAGGUUAAGCUGGGCACUCUAGGGAGACUGCCUUCGCAAGGAGGAGGAAGGUGAGGACGACGUCAAGUCAUCAUGGCCCUUACGGCCAGGGCUACACACGUGCUACAAUGGGGCGUACAGAGAGUUGCGAUACCGCGAGGUGGAGCCAAUCUCUUAAAGCGUCUCUCAGUUCGGAUUGUUCUCUGCAACUCGAGAGCAUGAAGCUGGAAUCACUAGUAAUCGUGGAUCAGCAUUGCCACGGUGAAUACGUUCCCGGGUCUUGUACUCACCGCCCGUCACACCAUGGGAGUUGAUUUUACCCGAAAUCGGGAAGCCAACCUUUUAGGAGGCUACCGCUUACGGUGGA
This 1119-nucleotide ribosomal RNA is filed under the name uncultured bacterium. RNAcentral describes it as "bacterial SSU rRNA". It matches the Rfam family "Bacterial small subunit ribosomal RNA", at positions 334 to 1466 of the family's 1533-position model. The record is from RNAcentral.